AGUGAACGCUGGCGGUAGGCCUAACACAUGCAAGUCGAACGGCAGCACAGUAAGAGCUUGCUCUUACGGGUGGCGAGUGACGGACGGGUGAGGAAUACAUCGGAAUCUACUUUUUCGUGGGGGAUAACGUAGGGAAACUUACGCUAAUACCGCAUACGACCUACGGGUGAAAGCAGGGGAUCUUCGGACCUUGCGCGAUUGAAUGAGCCGAUGUCGGAUUAGCUAGUUGGCGGGGUAAAGGCCCACCAAGGCGACGAUCCGUAGCUGGUCUGAGAGGAUGAUCAGCCACACUGGAACUGAGACACGGUCCAGACUCCUACGGGAGGCAGCAGUGGGGAAUAUUGGACAAUGGGCGCAAGCCUGAUCCAGCCAUACCGCGUGGGUGAAGAAGGCCUUCGGGUUGUAAAGCCCUUUUGUUGGAAAAGAAAAGCAGCAGGUUAAUACCCCGCUGUUCUGACGGUACCCAAAGAAUAAGCACCGGCUAACUUCGUG
This 492-nucleotide ribosomal RNA is filed under the name uncultured bacterium. RNAcentral's name for it is "partial 16S ribosomal RNA". It matches the Rfam family "Bacterial small subunit ribosomal RNA", at positions 29 to 507 of the family's 1533-position model. The record is from RNAcentral.